GACGUAGGGCGCGAGCGUUGUCCGGAUUUAUUGGGCGUAAAGAGCUCGUAGGCGGCUUGUCGCGUCGUCCGUGAAAACCCACAGCUCAACUGUGGGCUUGCGGUCGAUACGGGCAGGCUAGAGUUCGGUAGGGGAGACUGGAAUUCCUGGUGUAGCGGUGAAAUGCGCAGAUAUCAAGUGGAACACCAGUGGCGAAGGCGAGUCUCUGGACAUUUCCUGACGCUGAGGCACGAAAGCCAGGGGAGCAAACGGG
Molecule: ribosomal RNA, 253 nt
Filed under: uncultured bacterium
Lineage: Bacteria
Description: partial 16S ribosomal RNA
Rfam family: Bacterial small subunit ribosomal RNA
Source: RNAcentral